RNAcentral lists this non-coding RNA (46 nucleotides) under Trichobilharzia regenti. The record is from RNAcentral. Lineage: Eukaryota; Metazoa; Platyhelminthes; Trematoda; Strigeidida; Schistosomatidae.
GUACCGCUGAAGAGUUCCAGACUAGGAUGAAACAACCGUCCAGUAC